This is a long non-coding RNA of Lynx canadensis (Canada lynx), 2656 nucleotides long. RefSeq lists it as uncharacterized. Lineage: Eukaryota; Metazoa; Chordata; Mammalia; Carnivora; Felidae. The transcript is spliced from 3 exons. The record is from RefSeq and is a predicted model, not a curated record.
GCUCCCUAGUGGUCCCACAGCUGCGGCCGCCGCCUUCUUCCCCCAUGAUGGAGAAUGUUGGCGUGUACAGAUUCUGUGGGUGUGCAGCAAAGAGCAAAGUCAAGUGUGAUUCAAGGUGGGAAAUACCAGCUUCAGUUGCCAACACCCAAGCAGCGCGAAUUGUGGACCUGAGCGCAGUUCACGGGCCGCACCACAAGAGGGCAGUGUUUGCAGGACAUUUUGCGCCUGGCCGCCUCCCGCGGCUCGCCAGGGACUAGAAUUUUGCAGGAUGUCCUCUCUGCGCGGCCAGAGCAGAGCCGAGAUGCAUGUCCUGUGGCUUCCAGUUUGAGCCGUGACACAUGUUCUUCCGUCAACGGGGGUGCGUGCGUGCGGGUGGCACUAGGGAGGCAUCUGUCUGCGGCCCCGCCCUCUCCAAGCCGCCCCCACAGCCUUCCUACCCGACCUGCCCUCGGGUCGGGUCACGGAACCCACCCACCCAGUCUAGGCCCAGCCGGCUUCUGCCCCGGGGGCUGACCUGAGCCAGAGGGAACGGGAUAUCCCCUCACCCCCCUCAACAGCCGCCCCCUGCGAUGCCGAUUUGGAGCUCCGGCAGCGCCCCACCCGCCCAGCCACAUUCUGACCGGGUCCCUCGGGUCUUAAUUCCCCAUACGAGGUAGCUGCCCUGGUCUUCCCUUCCCUCCUCCUCUCUUUCACCUUCUUAAAAAAAAAAAAAAAUUUUUUUUUUUGAAAAAGCAAUGCAUAUUCAUGACAAAAAUUCAAAUAACCCAAAAGGAGGAGCUGAUGAAAAGCAGGUCUCCCCUCCCUUCCGAGCUUCCCAGUUUUCUCCCCUCAGGCCAUAAAGGCUAAGAGGUUUUAGCCACAGCCUCUUCCCAGAGGUUCCGGGUGCCUAUGCAGAUACAGAUGAGCAAGCAGGUGUUCAAAACCACCUUGGCCCCUGGUUCGCUUUUACUAGGCUCGGGAAACCCUUCCGCGUCGGUUCAGGUGCAGCUGCCCGGGUACUUUCUUCACUGGCUUUCGGAGCAUUCUAUUGUGUGGAUGCACCAUGCUUGCUUUAACCAUCCCUCCUGGGGGACGCGUGGGCCCUUUCCAGUCUCUUGCUCUCGGGAGCGGAGGGCAGGGACUAAUGUCGCAGGCCCAGCUUUAAGCACAGGUGUAAAAUCCAAAUGCACUGACUUCUCAGAAGUGGAGUGGCCGGGCGGAGGGCGCAGAUGGGCUGAGCUUUCAUAGUCGUUGCCGUAUCGCCCUUCAAAGACGUUUUGAACCCUUCUACGUGGAUCUAAUCCCAGCGUGAGUGCCCUUUGUCAGUUACUGGUUCUGGUUACUGGUACUGGUACUGGUUCUGGUUACUGGUUCUCAGUCUUGACCGAGGUCAGAAUUACCUGGGGAAGCUUUCUAAAAAUGCCAGUUCCUAGGCUGUAUCCCAUAUCCCAGCCUGAUUAAAUCAGAAUGUGACAGUUUUGUGUGUGUGUGUGUGUGUGUGUGUGUGUGUGUGUGUGUUGGGGGCUGCUGGUUAAGGGGAAGGGGACUGGCGUCGGCACUUACAACAUUUCCCCCCCAAGAUUCUACUGGGCAGGCAGGGGUGAAUGACGCUAUGAUACGUGGAAAACACCUCGUGGAUUUACGCGUAUAUUCCUUUAAUUAUGAAAGGAAGACGAACAUUCUUCUUUGAGAACAGUGCUUUAGACUUUUCUUGAAUCGCAGACCCUUUGGAGGUUCCGAACAAAAUCAAUGGAUCUUCUAUCCAGAAAAAAAAAAAAGUGCAUGCGUGUUGGUCUCAAUUUAAGUGAUCCUAGACCCUUUGGAGCUCCUCCUCAGGCCUCCUGGGACCCUGAGCCUCAGGUUAAGGACAGGCCCAGAAAAUUGUUCCUCCCAGACUCUUUCACUGCGCUCCAGGCCUUGUGUGCUCUCCCUGAAGCCCCACCCGAACCUAACCCCUGUGCCCCUCCUGCUGAGAUCUGCCAGGAGCCUCUGCUCCAAAACCGUGUCUGUGUACCCGCAGAAUAGCCCAGGUCCUCCUGGUGGGGCUUCCCUGAUGCCCACCUCUGAGAGGAGCUGCAGGGAGCUCACAGGGACCCACAGCAUGAGGUGCCUGUGCUCAGAGAGCUCACAGUUGGCAGAGGAUUCUGCUGUGUGGCAGGGGCUGUGGGAUGGGGCCGACGUGGUGCUGUGGAGCACAGUCGACUCAGGUGGGAGCACAGACUGAGGAGAAGGGUGGCCGGGGCCUCCCUGGGGGCAGGUCCUGGGCCGGAGCUGGCAGGGACAGGAUGGGAAGGUGCCACGGGUGUGAGGGAGCUCGUCACCUGCCGAGGAGCUAAGCGCCAGGAAGGUGUGGACACACAGGGAGUUGCCAGUUGUUUGGGGGUGGGAUGUAGGGGAGAAGCGAGUCAGGGGAGAUAGGAAAGGGCGCGUGGCAGGGCAGACGGAUUUCAGGGCAGGGGUGUGCCGUUAGCCCAUUCGCUCUGUGGGAGUCCAGGCGGGCGGAUGGCAAGGAAAGGGCUGAUUCUGGGGUGUUAGGGCAGCAGGGCUCAGCAGGGGAGCAGGGGCGGUGGGUCACAGGUAACCGGCUUAGGCUGGAGGGUGGUGAGGACCACGGCCAGGGAGGGACGACAGUGCUCAGUGGGCAGGUGUGUGUGUGUGCGCGCAGGGGCGAGGAGAG